This 478-nucleotide long non-coding RNA is filed under the name Elaeis guineensis (African oil palm). RNAcentral describes it as "long non-coding RNA (EGUI_LNC011222)". Lineage: Eukaryota; Viridiplantae; Streptophyta; Magnoliopsida; Arecales; Arecaceae. The record is from RNAcentral.
AAGCAAUCUAUCUGUGUUACCACUAUGAAUGUCCUUUUCUACAUCUUAUGAAUAUAAAGUAAUGUGACCUGUCAUAAGUGAUCGAACUUGUACUCUUUUGUACUACAAAUCAUCAGGGGUUAGUACAAAAUGCCGAAGUUUCUCUGAUGCUAACAUGCGACAUUUCUGAAUAUGUGAAAUUAUAAUAGAUUUCAAUAUUGAAUAAUAUUUGUUUUAGAUGUCAGACUUGAAUAUAUAUGAGCUAAUGCGCAUUUGAAAUGAAAUAGAAGAAAUUAGCAAACAAUUAAAUGCUGCUUUUAUGAAAAAAAAGAAAAAUGCAGCAUAAUGCACUAGUCUCAUUAACACAGUCUGAAGAGCAAACAGUGAAGAUGAUAGAUGAAAACCUGAAAUGAGAAAACGAUAAUAGUAUGACGGGUUUGUUGAUGAAAGAAAGUAAGGAAUUGUGUUUACAAUGGGUUUGUAAAGGAAAGAAGAAGGC